RNAcentral lists this non-coding RNA (151 nucleotides) under Nicotiana attenuata. Lineage: Eukaryota; Viridiplantae; Streptophyta; Magnoliopsida; Solanales; Solanaceae. The record is from RNAcentral.
UCUGGCCUGCUCUGUCCAAGCACAGAGGUUGAUCAAGUGAACCUAUCAAAGGAUGGGCUGCUUGGCCCUAAACUGGUGUGGACUGCGUGAGUUUGGAUUCAUAGAGCAACAAACAACUUUCACUCUGUGCAAUGGAAGGAUAACAGAUGGG